RNAcentral lists this ribosomal RNA (252 nucleotides) under uncultured bacterium. RNAcentral describes it as "partial 16S ribosomal RNA". It matches the Rfam family "Bacterial small subunit ribosomal RNA", at positions 525 to 776 of the family's 1533-position model. The record is from RNAcentral.
ACAGAGGGUGCAAGCGUUAAUCGGAAUUACUGGGCGUAAAGCGCGCGUAGGUGGUUUGAUAAGUUGGAUGUGAAAUCCCCGGGCUUAACCUGGGUCGGUCAUUCAAAACUGUCAGACUAGAGUAUGGUAGAGGGUAGUGGAAUUUCUAGUGUAGCGGUGAAAUGCGUAGAUAUUAGAAGGAACACCAGUGGCGAAGGCGACUGCCUGGACUGAUACUGACACUGAGGUGCGAAAGCGUGGGUAGCGAACAGG